This 2273-nucleotide ribosomal RNA is filed under the name Klebsiella pneumoniae. RNAcentral describes it as "partial 23S ribosomal RNA". It matches the Rfam family "Bacterial large subunit ribosomal RNA", at positions 563 to 2823 of the family's 2925-position model. The record is from RNAcentral. Lineage: Bacteria; Pseudomonadati; Pseudomonadota; Gammaproteobacteria; Enterobacterales; Enterobacteriaceae.
CGUACAAGCAGUGGGAGCACCUUCGGGUGUGACUGCGUACCUUUUGUAUAAUGGGUCAGCGACUUAUAUUCUGUAGCAAGGUUAACCGUAUAGGGGAGCCGCAGGGAAACCGAGUCUUAACUGGGCGUUAAGUUGCAGGGUAUAGACCCGAAACCCGGUGAUCUAGCCAUGGGCAGGUUGAAGGUUGGGUAACACUAACUGGAGGACCGAACCGACUAAUGUUGAAAAAUUAGCGGAUGACUUGUGGCUGGGGGUGAAAGGCCAAUCAAACCGGGAGAUAGCUGGUUCUCCCCGAAAGCUAUUUAGGUAGCGCCUCGUGAACUCAUCUUCGGGGGUAGAGCACUGUUUCGGCUAGGGGGUCAUCCCGACUUACCAACCCGAUGCAAACUACGAAUACCGAAGAAUGUUAUCACGGGAGACACACGGCGGGUGCUAACGUCCGUCGUGAAGAGGGAAACAACCCAGACCGCCAGCUAAGGUCCCAAAGUCAUGGUUAAGUGGGAAACGAUGUGGGAAGGCACAGACAGCCAGGAUGUUGGCUUAGAAGCAGCCAUCAUUUAAAGAAAGCGUAAUAGCUCACUGGUCGAGUCGGCCUGCGCGGAAGAUGUAACGGGGCUAAACCAUGCACCGAAGCUGCGGCAGCGACACUAUGUGUUGUUGGGUAGGGGAGCGUUCUGUAAGCCUGCGAAGGUGUGCUGUGAGGCAUGCUGGAGGUAUCAGAAGUGCGAAUGCUGACAUAAGUAACGAUAAAGCGGGUGAAAAGCCCGCUCGCCGGAAGACCAAGGGUUCCUGUCCAACGUUAAUCGGGGCAGGGUGAGUCGACCCCUAAGGCGAGGCCGAAAGGCGUAGUCGAUGGGAAACAGGUUAAUAUUCCUGUACUUGGUGUUACUGCGAAGGGGGGACGGAGAAGGCUAUGUUAGCCGGGCGACGGUUGUCCCGGUUUAAGCAUGUAGGCUGGUUGUCCAGGCAAAUCCGGAUAAUCAAGGCUGAGGUGUGAUGACGAGGCACUACGGUGCUGAAGUAACAAAUGCCCUGCUUCCAGGAAAAGCCUCUAAGCAUCAGGUAACAUCAAAUCGUACCCCAAACCGACACAGGUGGUCAGGUAGAGAAUACCAAGGCGCUUGAGAGAACUCGGGUGAAGGAACUAGGCAAAAUGGUGCCGUAACUUCGGGAGAAGGCACGCUGGUGUGUAGGUGAAGUCCCUGCGGAUGGAGCUGAGACCAGUCGAAGAUACCAGCUGGCUGCAACUGUUUAUUAAAAACACAGCACUGUGCAAACACGAAAGUGGACGUAUACGGUGUGACGCCUGCCCGGUGCCGGAAGGUUAAUUGAUGGGGUUAUCCGUAAGGAGAAGCUCUUGAUCGAAGCCCCGGUAAACGGCGGCCGUAACUAUAACGGUCCUAAGGUAGCGAAAUUCCUUGUCGGGUAAGUUCCGACCUGCACGAAUGGCGUAAUGAUGGCCAGGCUGUCUCCACCCGAGACUCAGUGAAAUUGAACUCGCUGUGAAGAUGCAGUGUACCCGCGGCAAGACGGAAAGACCCCGUGAACCUUUACUAUAGCUUGACACUGAACAUUGAGCCUUGAUGUGUAGGAUAGGUGGGAGGCUUUGAAGCGUGGACGCCAGUCUGCGUGGAGCCAACCUUGAAAUACCACCCUUUAAUGUUUGAUGUUCUAACGUUGGCCCCUGACCGGGGUUGCGGACAGUGUCUGGUGGGUAGUUUGACUGGGGCGGUCUCCUCCCAAAGCGUAACGGAGGAGCACGAAGGUUAGCUAAUCCUGGUCGGACAUCAGGAGGUUAGUGCAAUGGCAUAAGCUAGCUUGACUGCGAGCGUGACGGCGCGAGCAGGUGCGAAAGCAGGUCAUAGUGAUCCGGUGGUUCUGAAUGGAAGGGCCAUCGCUCAACGGAUAAAAGGUACUCCGGGGAUAACAGGCUGAUACCGCCCAAGAGUUCAUAUCGACGGCGGUGUUUGGCACCUCGAUGUCGGCUCAUCACAUCCUGGGGCUGAAGUAGGUCCCAAGGGUAUGGCUGUUCGCCAUUUAAAGUGGUACGCGAGCUGGGUUUAGAACGUCGUGAGACAGUUCGGUCCCUAUCUGCCGUGGGCGCUGGAGAAUUGAGGGGGGCUGCUCCUAGUACGAGAGGACCGGAGUGGACGCAUCACUGGUGUUCGGGUUGUCAUGCCAAUGGCACUGCCCGGUAGCUAAAUGCGGAAGAGAUAAGUGCUGAAAGCAUCUAAGCACGAAACUUGCCCCGAGAUGAGUUCUCCCUGAGACUU